UAAAACUAAACAAACUGUUUUCAUAACUGUUGAAAUAAUAUUUGUCAUCAUUACUAAAAGUCCACUCGCUAAAUAAGUAAAAUUUCCCUACUGAUAUUUAUUUAUGUCCUAAAGUUUUAACUCGGAUGUUUAUAUCAGUCACCCCGAUUGAACUGCUAAUACCCAAGAACUGAUAAGUUUCAACAAUAAAUCUUUCUUAUAUCACGACAACUGAGAUAUGAAGUCUUUCUUUUUUACCACCUAUCUUUUACCUAAGCUUCUGCUUUUUAUUGGAUAAAUUUAUCGAUACACACCUUUCCGACGUCAGGGUCUU
RNAcentral lists this long non-coding RNA (313 nucleotides) under Mytilus galloprovincialis (Mediterranean mussel). Lineage: Eukaryota; Metazoa; Mollusca; Bivalvia; Mytilida; Mytilidae. The record is from RNAcentral.